UACGAAGGGGGCUAGCGUUGCUCGGAAUCACUGGGCGUAAAGGGUGCGUAGGCGGGUCUUUAAGUCAGGGGGGAAAUCCUGGAGCUCAACUCCAGAACUGCCUUUGAUACUGAAGAUCUUGAGUUCGGGAGAGGUGAGUGGAACUGCGAGUGUAGAGGUGAAAUUCGUAGAUAUUAGGAAGAACACCAGUGGCGAAGGCGGCUCACUGGUCCGGUACUGACGCUGAGGUGCGAAAGCGUGGGGAGCAAACAGG
This 253-nucleotide ribosomal RNA is filed under the name uncultured bacterium. Its description in RNAcentral is "partial 16S ribosomal RNA". It matches the Rfam family "Bacterial small subunit ribosomal RNA", at positions 524 to 776 of the family's 1533-position model. The record is from RNAcentral.